Molecule: ribosomal RNA, 466 nt
Filed under: uncultured bacterium
Lineage: Bacteria
Description: partial 16S ribosomal RNA
Rfam family: Bacterial small subunit ribosomal RNA
Source: RNAcentral
GAUGAACGCUGGCGGCGUGCUUAACACAUGCAAGUCGAACGAUGAAGCCCAGCUUGCUGGGUGGAUUAGUGGCGAACGGGUGAGUAACACGUGAGUAACCUGCCCUUGACUCUGGGAUAAGCCCGGGAAACUGGGUCUAAUACCGGAUAGGAGCGCCUGUCGCAUGACGGGUGUUGGAAAGAUUUUUCGGUCAUGGAUGGACUCGCGGCCUAUCAGCUUGUUGGUGAGGUAAUGGCUCACCAAGGCGACGACGGGUAGCCGGCCUGGGAGGGUGAACGGCCACACUGGGACUGAGACACGGCCCAGACUCCUACGGGAGGCAGCAGUGGGGAAUAUUGCACAAUGGGCGGAAGCCUGAUGCAGCGACGCCGCGUGAGGGAUGACGGCCUUCGGGUUGUAAACCUCUUUCAGUAGGGAAGAAGCGAAAGUGACGGUACCUGCAGAAGAAGCACCGGCUAACUACGUG